AAAGAAACCAACAGGGAUUGCCCCAGUAACGGCGAGUGAAGCGGCAACAGCUCAAAUUUGAAAUCUGGCCCUAGGCCCGAGUUGUAAUUUGCAGAGGAUGCUUUGGGCGCGGUGCCUUCCGAGUUCCCUGGAACGGGACGCCAUAGAGGGUGAGAGCCCCGUCUGGUCGGACACCAAGCCUAUGUAAAGCUCCUUCGACGAGUCGAGUAGUUUGGGAAUGCUGCUCAAAAUGGGAGGUAUAUGUCUUCUAAAGCUAAAUACCGGCCAGAGACCGAUAGCGCACAAGUAGAGUGAUCGAAAGAUGAAAAGCACUUUGAAAAGAGAGUUAAACAGCACGUGAAAUUGUUGAAAGGGAAGCGUUCAUGACCAGACUUGGCCCGGUUGAUCAUCCAGCGUUCUCGCUGGUGCACUCUGCCGGUCCAGGCCAGCAUCAGUUCGCCGCGGGGGAUAAAGGUUUCGGGAAUGUGGCUCCCUCGGGAGUGUUAUAGCCCGUUGCGUAAUACCCUGCGGUGGACUGAGGUCCGCGCUCUGCAAGGAUGCUGGCGUAAUGGUCAUCAACGACCCGUCUUGAAACACGGACCAAGGAGUCGUCUUCGUAUGCGAGUGUUCGGGUGUAAAACCCCUACGCGUAAUGAAAGUGAACGGAGGUGGGAGCUUCGGCGCACCAUCGACCGAUCCUGAUGUUCUCGGAUGGAUUUGAGUAAGAGCAUACGGGGCCGGACCCGAAAGAAGGUGAACUAUGCCUGUAUAGGGUGAAGCCAGAGGAAACUCUGGUGGAGGCUCGCAGCGGUUCUGACGUGCAAAUCGAUCGUCAAAUAUGGGCAUGGGGGCGAAAGACUAAUCGAACCUUCUAGUAGCUGGUUUCCGCCGAAGUUUCCCUCAGGAUAGCAGUGUUGAACUCAGUUUUAUGAGGUAAAGCGAAUGAUUAGGGACCCGAGGGGCGCUAUUUUGCCUUCAUCCAUUCUCAAACUUUAAAUAUGUAAGAAGCCCUUGUUGCUUAAUUGAACGUGGGCAUUCGAAUGUAUCAAC
Molecule: ribosomal RNA, 1029 nt
Filed under: Inaequalispora cylindrospora
Lineage: Eukaryota; Fungi; Ascomycota; Sordariomycetes; Hypocreales; Stachybotryaceae
Description: eukaryotic LSU rRNA
Rfam family: Eukaryotic large subunit ribosomal RNA
Source: RNAcentral